Molecule: microRNA precursor, 128 nt
Filed under: Cavia porcellus (domestic guinea pig)
Lineage: Eukaryota; Metazoa; Chordata; Mammalia; Rodentia; Caviidae
Description: miRNA (ENSCPOG00000032046.1)
Source: RNAcentral
GGAUCUCUCUGUUCAGUGCAGGCUGGCCUUGAGCUCACUUUGUAGCCCAGGCUGGUCUUGAACUCACAACGAUCCUCCUGCCUCAGCCUCCCGAGUGCUGGGAUUACAGGCAUGAGCCACCACGCCCG